Actinomyces sp. oral taxon 848 is the source of this 121-nucleotide non-coding RNA. The record is from Rfam. Lineage: Bacteria; Bacillati; Actinomycetota; Actinomycetes; Actinomycetales; Actinomycetaceae.
GGCGGCGGUCAUAGCGGCAGGGACACGCCCGGACCUUUCCUUUCCGAACCCGGAAGCUAAGACUGCCAGCGCCGAUGGUACUGCACCCGCCAGGGUGUGGGAGAGUAGGACACCGCCGCCC